UCAGAAAUGGAUCAACGACUCGGGUAUAAGUUUUUGGUACCUGAUCCUAAAGCCGGAGUUUUUUAUAGACCGUUACAUUUCCAAUAUGUAUCGUAUUCUAAUUUUAUAUUGCAUCGAUUGCAUGAAAUCUUGACCGUCAAGCGGCCACUCUUAUCGUUUAAGAAUAAUACAGAACGAAUUAUGAUAGAAAUUAGCAAUGUUAAAGUGACUCCUCCAGAUUACUCACCUAUAAUCGCGAGUAUUAAAGGUAAGAGUUAUGACGCAUUAGCCACGUUCACUGUAAAUAUCUUUAAAGAGGUAAUGACCAAAGAGGGUAUAUCCAUCACUAAAAUAAGUAGUUAUGAGGGAAAAGAUUCUCAUUUGAUAAAAAUUCCGCUACUAAUAGGAUACGGGAAUAAAAAUCCACUUGAUACAGCCAAGUAUCUUGUUCCUAAUGUCAUAGGUGGAGUCUUUAUCAAUAAACAAUCUGUCGAAAAAGUAGGAAUUAAUCUAGUAGAAAAGAUUACAACAUGGCCAAAAUUUAGGGUUGUUAAGCCAAACUCAUUCACUUUCUCGUUUUCCUCCGUAUCCCCUCCUAAUGUAUUACCGACAAGAUAUCGCCAUUACAAGAUAUCUCUGGAUAUAUCACAAUUGGAAGCGUCGAAUAUAUCAUCGACAAAGACAUUUAUAACGGUCAAUAUUGUUUUGCUAUCUCAAUAUUUAUCUAGAGUGAGUCUAGAAUUCAUUAGACGUAGUUUAUCAUAUGAUAUGCCUCCAGAAGUUGUCUAUCUAGUAAACGCGAUAAUAGAUAGUGCUAAACGACUUACCGAAUCUAUUACUGACUUUAAUAUCGAUACAUACAUUAAUGACCUGGUGGAAGCCGAACACAUUAAACAAAAAUCUCAGUUAACGAUUAACGAGUUCAAAUAUGAAAUGCUGCAUAACUUUUUACCUCAUAUGAACUAUACACCCGAUCAACUAAAGGGAUUUUAUAUGAUAUCUUUACUAAGAAAGUUUCUCUACUGUAUCUACCACACUUCUAGAUAUCCGGAUAGAGAUUCGAUGGUUUGUCAUCGUAUACUAACAUACGGCAAAUAUUUUGAGACGUUGGCACAUGAUGAAUUAGAGAAUUACAUAGGCAACAUCCGAAACGAUAUCAUGAACAAUCACAAGAACAGAGGCACUUAUGCGGUAAACAUUCAUGUACUAACAACUCCCGGACUUAAUCAUGCAUUUUCUAGUCUAUUGAGUGGAAAGUUCAAAAAGUCAGACGGUAGUUAUCGAACACAUCCUCACUAUUCAUGGAUGCAGAAUAUUUCUAUUCCUAGAAGUGUUGGAUUUUAUCCGGAUCAAGUAAAGAUUUCAAAGAUGUUUUCUGUCAGAAAAUACCAUCCAAGUCAAUAUCUUUACUUUUGUUCAUCAGACGUUCCGGAAAGAGGUCCUCAGGUAGGUUUAGUAUCUCAAUUGUCUGUCUUGAGUUCCAUUACAAAUAUACUAACGUCUGAGUAUUUGGAUUUGGAAAAGAAAAUUUGUGAGUAUAUCAGAUCAUAUUAUAAAGAUGAUAUAAGUUACUUUGAAACAGGAUUUCCAAUCACUAUAGAAAAUGCUCUAGUCGCAUCUCUUAAUCCAAAUAUGAUAUGUGAUUUUGUAACUGACUUUAGGCGUAGAAAACGGAUGGGAUUCUUCGGUAACUUGGAGGUAGGUAUUACUUUAGUUAGGGAUCACAUGAAUGAAAUUCGCAUUAAUAUUGGAGCAGGAAGAUUAGUCAGACCAUUCUUGGUUGUGGAUAACGGAGAGCUCAUGAUGGAUGUGUGUCCGGAGUUAGAAAGCAGAUUAGACGACAUGACAUUCUCUGACAUUCAGAAAGAGUUUCCGCAUGUCAUCGAAAUGGUAGAUAUAGAACAAUUUACUUUUAGUAACGUAUGUGAAUCGGUUCAAAAAUUUAGAAUGAUGUCAAAGGACGAAAGAAAGCAAUACGAUUUAUGUGACUUUCCUGCCGAAUUCAGAGAUGGAUAUGUGGCAUCUUCAUUAGUGGGAAUCAAUCACAAUUCUGGACCCAGAGCUAUUCUUGGAUGUGCUCAAGCUAAACAAGCUAUCUCUUGUCUGAGCUCGGAUAUACGAAAUAAAAUAGACAAUGGAAUUCAUUUGAUGUAUCCAGAGAGGCCAAUCGUGAUUAGUAAGGCUUUAGAAACUUCAAAGAUUGCGGCUAAUUGCUUCGGCCAACAUGUUACUAUAGCAUUAAUGUCGUAUAAAGGCAUCAAUCAAGAGGAUGGAAUUAUCAUCAAAAAACAAUUUAUUCAGAGAGGCGGUCUCGAUAUAGUUACCGCAAAGAAACAUCAAGUAGAAAUUCCAUUGGAAAACUUUAAUAACAAAGAAAGAGAUAGGUCUAAUGCAUAUUCGAAAUUAGAAAGUAAUGGAUUAGUUAGACUGAAUGCUUUCUUGGAAUCCGGAGACGCUAUGGCACGAAAUAUCUCAUCAAGAACUCUCGAAGAUGAUUUUGCUAGAGAUAAUCAGAUUAGCUUCGAUGUUUCCGAGAAAUAUACCGAUAUGUACAAAUCUCGCGUUGAACGAGUGCAAGUAGAACUUACUGACAAAGUUAAGGUGCGAGUAUUAACCAUGAAAGAAAGAAGACCCAUUCUAGGAGAUAAAUUCACCACUAGAACGAGUCAAAAGGGAACAGUCGCGUAUAUCGCGGAUGAAACUGAACUUCCAUACGACGAAAAUGGUAUCACGCCAGAUGUCAUUAUUAAUUCUACAUCCAUCUUCUCUAGAAAAACUAUAUCUAUGUUGAUAGAAGUUAUUUUAACAGCCGCAUAUUCUGCUAAGCCGUACAACAAUAAGGGAGAAAACCGACCUGUCUGUUUUCCUAGUAGUAACGAAACAUCCAUCGAUACAUAUAUGCAAUUCGCUAAACAAUGUUAUGAGCAUUCAAAUCCGAAAUUGUCUGAUGAAGAAUUAUCGGAUAAAAUCUUUUGUGAAAAGAUUCUCUAUGAUCCUGAAACGGAUAAGCCUUAUGCAUCCAAAGUAUUUUUUGGACCAAUUUAUUACUUGCGUCUGAGGCAUUUAACUCAGGACAAGGCAACCGUUAGAUGUAGAGGUAAAAAGACGAAGCUCAUUAGACAGGCAAAUGAGGGACGAAAACGUGGAGGAGGUAUCAAGUUCGGAGAAAUGGAGAGAGACUGUUUAAUAGCGCAUGGUGCAGCCAAUACUAUUACAGAAGUUUUGAAAGAUUCGGAAGAAGAUUAUCAAGAUGUGUAUGUUUGUGAAAAUUGUGGAGACAUAGCAGCACAAAUCAAAGGUAUUAAUACAUGUCUUAGAUGUUCAAAACUUAAUCUCUCUCCUCUCUUAACAAAAAUUGAUACCACGCACGUAUCUAAAGUAUUUCUUACUCAAAUGAAUGCCAGAGGCGUAAAAGUCAAAUUAGAUUUCGAACGAAGACCUCCUUCGUUUUAUAAACCAUUAGAUAAAGUUGAUCUCAAACCGUCUUUUCUGGCAUAAUAUUGUUUAGUAGAUACUCAUCAAUAUCAUCAAGUUUAUCAAGAUCAUCAAGAUAAGCUAAUUCACUAAACACAUUUUUGGAUUCGGUAUUGUUACUCGCAGAAUAGAGUUCGCUAUAAUCCUGAUAUUCGGAAAUCUGUGGAGUUUCAGGUUUUGGUGGAGGUGUAACAGCUACUUGAGAUACCGAAGUCUGAUAUUCAGAAAGCUGUGGAUGUUCUGGUUCGGCAUCCACCGAUGGUGUUACACCACUACUAAUUGGUUCAGUAACGUCGGACGAUGGAGGCACCACUUCUACAGGUUUUGGUUCUGUAUCCUCAGUCGUCAACGGUUCUACUUCAAUGCGAGGAAAUGUAUAAUUUGGUAAUGGUUUCUCGUCUGGAUCUGAAGAAGAGGUAAGAUAUCUACUAGAAAGAUACCGAUCACGUUCUAGUUCUCUUUUGUAGAACUUAACUUUUUCU
RNAcentral lists this unclassified non-coding RNA (3935 nucleotides) under Cowpox virus. Lineage: Varidnaviria; Bamfordvirae; Nucleocytoviricota; Pokkesviricetes; Chitovirales; Poxviridae. The record is from RNAcentral.